GCAUGAAGUCGGAAUUGCUAGUAAUCGCGGAUCAGCAUGCCGCGGUGAAUACGUUCCCGGGCCUUGUACACACCGCCCGUCACACCAUGAGAGCCGGGGGGACCCGAAGUCCGUAGCUUAACCGCAAGGAGGGCGCGGCCGAAGGUAAAACUGGUGAUUGGGGUGAAGUCGUAACAAGGUAGC
RNAcentral lists this ribosomal RNA (183 nucleotides) under uncultured bacterium. RNAcentral describes it as "partial 16S ribosomal RNA". It matches the Rfam family "Bacterial small subunit ribosomal RNA", at positions 1318 to 1500 of the family's 1533-position model. The record is from RNAcentral.